RNAcentral lists this ribosomal RNA (465 nucleotides) under uncultured bacterium. RNAcentral describes it as "bacterial LSU rRNA". It matches the Rfam family "Bacterial large subunit ribosomal RNA", at positions 409 to 869 of the family's 2925-position model. The record is from RNAcentral.
UGAGUACGACGGGACACGAGGAACCCUGUCGGAAUCCGGGAGGACCAUCUCCCAAGGCUAAAUACUACUUGGUGACCGAUAGUGAACCAGUACCGUGAGGGAAAGGUGAAAAGAACCCCCGCGAGGGGAGUGAAAAGACUCUGAAACCGAAUGUCUACAAGCCGUUGGAGCACUAUGGCGCAAGCAACGUGCGACAGCGUGCCUUUUGCAUAAUGAGCCUGCGAGUUACAGUGUCCGGCAAGGUUAAGCCGCGAGGCGAAGCCGAAGCGAAAGCGAGUCUGAAUAGGGCGCUAAGUCGGAUGCCGUAGACCCGAAACCGGGUGAUCUAUCCUUGGCCAGGCUGAAGAGCGGGUAACACCGCUUGGAGGGCCGAACUCACCAUAGUUGAAAAUAUGGGGGAUGAGCUGAGGAUCGGAGUGAAAGGCUAAUCAAACUCGGUUAUAGCUGGUUCUCGCCGAAACAUAU